This 292-nucleotide ribosomal RNA is filed under the name uncultured bacterium. RNAcentral describes it as "partial 16S ribosomal RNA". It matches the Rfam family "Bacterial small subunit ribosomal RNA", at positions 505 to 796 of the family's 1533-position model. The record is from RNAcentral.
GUGCCAGCAGCCGCGGUAAAACGUAGGGGGCGAGCGUUAUCCGGAUUUACUGGGCGUAAAGCGCCCGCAGGCGGCGGGUCAAGUUGGACGUGAAAGCUCCCGGCUUAACUGGGAGAGGUCGUACAAAACUGACCGGCUAGAGGCUGAGAGAGGAGAGCAGAAUUCCCGGUGUAGUGGUGGAAUGCGUAGAUAUCGGGAGGAAUACCAGUGGCGAAGGCGGCUCUCUGGCUCAGAACUGACGCUGAGGGGCGAAAGCGUGGGGAGCGAACGGGAUUAGAUACCCCUGUAGUCC